RNAcentral lists this ribosomal RNA (555 nucleotides) under Triticum aestivum (bread wheat). RNAcentral's name for it is "partial small subunit ribosomal RNA". Lineage: Eukaryota; Viridiplantae; Streptophyta; Magnoliopsida; Poales; Poaceae. The record is from RNAcentral.
AUGCUGGAUCAGGCGCAACCGGAGCCGGAGGGUCUAGCUUUCACAGCGAAGGCACAAAUCUUGUCGGCCAGUGAAGCAGCAGCGGAGAGGAAAGGCGGUUCUCCACCCAGUUCAGAGCUGUCAACUGGGAAGAUGAACCCCCGAGCGCCUGGAUGGAACAAGAGGUUGAGGACCGGUGCUACAGCUACAAGUCGCCCACCUUGCCCAAACCACACCAGUGCAUCUGAGAAGGUCGUUCGUAGCUAUGCCGAAAACCCAACUGAGAAUGUCAUAACCCAAAUUAUCGGCACAACGUUCAACUCGGUUGGGGAGGCAUACGACUUUUACAAUCUGUAUUCAUGGGAAAAGGGCUUUGGUAUUCGAUACGGACCAAUGUGUCAGAGGCAAGUGGCGAAUGCAACGACCGCUGUGUCAAGGCAUAAUGCCAUUGAUGCAAGUCCCCCGGGCUUCGGGCAUAGCAUGGCCACAUCUGUUGUGUGCAACAGACAGAAGGAGAUGAAAAUGAAAUGGGGAAUAUAUUGCAAGAGAUCACAGAAAUGCAAGCUACUGUUGUAG